Molecule: ribosomal RNA, 530 nt
Filed under: Bos gaurus (gaur)
Lineage: Eukaryota; Metazoa; Chordata; Mammalia; Artiodactyla; Bovidae
Description: partial 16S ribosomal RNA
Rfam family: Bacterial large subunit ribosomal RNA
Source: RNAcentral
GCAUUGCCUGCCCAGUGACAACUGUUUAACGGCCGCGGUAUCCUGACCGUGCAAAGGUAGCAUAAUCAUUUGUUCUCUAAAUAAGGACUUGUAUGAAUGGCCACACGAGGGUUUUACUGUCUCUUACUUCCAAUCCGUGAAAUUGACCUUCCCGUGAAGAGGCGGGAAUACACAAAUAAGACGAGAAGACCCUAUGGAGCUUUAACUAACCAGCCCAAAGAAAAUAAACUUAACCAUUAAGGAGUAACAAUAAUCUCCAUGAGUUGGUAGUUUCGGUUGGGGUGACCUCGGAGAAUAAAAAAUCCUCCGAACGAUUUUAAAGACUAGACCCACAAGUCAAAUCAUUCAAUCGCUCAUUGAUCCAAAAACUUGAUCAACGGAACAAGUUACCCUAGGGAUAACAGCGCAAUCCUAUUCAAGAGUCCAUAUCGACAAUAGGGCUUACGACCUCGAUGUUGGAUCAGGACAUCCUGAUGGUGCAACCGCUAUCAAAGGUUCGUUUGUUCAACGAUUAAAGUCCUACGUGAUCU